RNAcentral lists this transfer RNA (72 nucleotides) under Mexistrophia reticulata. Its description in RNAcentral is "tRNA-Ile". Lineage: Eukaryota; Metazoa; Mollusca; Gastropoda; Stylommatophora; Cerionidae. The record is from RNAcentral.
UAAGUAGCCGCCGGUGGACGGGCAUUGUUGAUGUCAAUGAAUACAGAGAUAGUUUUCAUCUUUGCUACUAAC